This 1032-nucleotide ribosomal RNA is filed under the name Drosophila melanogaster (fruit fly). Its description in RNAcentral is "SSU rRNA". It matches the Rfam family "Eukaryotic small subunit ribosomal RNA", at positions 1 to 956 of the family's 1831-position model. Lineage: Eukaryota; Metazoa; Arthropoda; Insecta; Diptera; Drosophilidae. The record is from RNAcentral.
UCUGGUUGAUCCUGCCAGUAGUUAUAUGCUUGUCUCAAAGAUUAAGCCAUGCAUGUCUAAGUACACACGAAUUAAAAGUGAAACCGCAAAAGGCUCAUUAUAUCAGUUAUGGUUCCUUAGAUCGUUAACAGUUACUUGGAUAACUGUGGUAAUUCUAGAGCUAAUACAUGCAAUUAAAACAUGAACCUUAUGGGACAUGUGCUUUUAUUAGGCUAAAACCAAGCGAUCGCAAGAUCGUUAUAUUGGUUGAACUCUAGAUAACAUGCAGAUCGUAUGGUCUUGUACCGACGACAGAUCUUUCAAAUGUCUGCCCUAUCAACUUUUGAUGGUAGUAUCUAGGACUACCAUGGUUGCAACGGGUAACGGGGAAUCAGGGUUCGAUUCCGGAGAGGGAGCCUGAGAAACGGCUACCACAUCUAAGGAAGGCAGCAGGCGCGUAAAUUACCCACUCCCAGCUCGGGGAGGUAGUGACGAAAAAUAACAAUACAGGACUCAUAUCCGAGGCCCUGUAAUUGGAAUGAGUACACUUUAAAUCCUUUAACAAGGACCAAUUGGAGGGCAAGUCUGGUGCCAGCAGCCGCGGUAAUUCCAGCUCCAAUAGCGUAUAUUAAAGUUGUUGCGGUUAAAACGUUCGUAGUUGAACUUGUGCUUCAUACGGGUAGUACAACUUACAAUUGUGGUUAGUACUAUACCUUUAUGUAUGUAAGCGUAUUACCGGUGGAGUUCUUAUAUGUGAUUAAAUACUUGUAUUUUUUCAUAUGUUCCUCCUAUUUAAAAACCUGCAUUAGUGCUCUUAAACGAGUGUUAUUGUGGGCCGGUACUAUUACUUUGAACAAAUUAGAGUGCUUAAAGCAGGCUUCAAAUGCCUGAAUAUUCUGUGCAUGGGAUAAUGAAAUAAGACCUCUGUUCUGCUUUCAUUGGUUUUCAGAUCAAGAGGUAAUGAUUAAUAGAAGCAGUUUGGGGGCAUUAGUAUUACGACGCGAGAGGUGAAAUUCUUGGACCGUCGUAAGACUAACUUAAGCGAAAGCAUUU